This 492-nucleotide ribosomal RNA is filed under the name uncultured bacterium. Its description in RNAcentral is "partial 16S ribosomal RNA". It matches the Rfam family "Bacterial small subunit ribosomal RNA", at positions 29 to 507 of the family's 1533-position model. The record is from RNAcentral.
AGUGAACGCUGGCGGUAGGCCUAACACAUGCAAGUCGAACGGCAGCACAGUAAGAGCUUGCUCUUACGGGUGGCGAGUGGCGGACGGGUGAGGAAUACAUCGGAAUCUACUUUUUCGUGGGGGAUAACGUAGGGAAACUUACGCUAAUACCGCAUACGACCUACGGGUGAAAGCAGGGGAUCUUCGGACCUUGCGCGAUUGAAUGAGCCGAUGUCGGAUUAGCUAGUUGGCGGGGUAAAGGCCCACCAAGGCGACGAUCCGUAGCUGGUCUGAGAGGAUGAUCAGCCACACUGGAACUGAGACACGGUCCAGACUCCUACGGGAGGCAGCAGUGGGGAAUAUUGGACAAUGGGCGCAAGCCUGAUCCAGCUAUACCGCGUGGGUGAAGAAGGCCUACGGGUUGUAAAGCCCUUUUGUUGGGAAAGAAAAGCAGCAGGUUAAUACCCCGCUGUUCUGACGGUACCCAAAGAAUAAGCACCGGCUAACUUCGUG